GGGGCUGUAGCUCAGUGGCAGAGCGCUUGCCUAGCAUGCAUGAGGCACUGGGUUCGAUCCUCAGCACCA
RNAcentral lists this transfer RNA (69 nucleotides) under Marmota marmota marmota (Alpine marmot). It matches the Rfam family "tRNA". From Rfam's summary of the family: Transfer RNA (tRNA) molecules are approximately 80 nucleotides in length. Lineage: Eukaryota; Metazoa; Chordata; Mammalia; Rodentia; Sciuridae. RNAcentral also lists the same sequence under 3 other names. The record is from Rfam by way of RNAcentral.